UUAUACUUAAUUGUGAAUAUGUUGUCGUCAAGAAUAGAAAACUAUAGUCAAUGUCUUGUAAUUAUUUUGUUAAUUACAAGCGUGGUUAGUCAACAAUCAUGUAUCCCGCCAUUUCAAUGCUUAAGUUCUAACACCUAUCAAAUGUUGGGAUCUGUUUUUACUUGCCAAGCGGGAAUGGUUUGUAAUGCAGACUAUGAUAACACAUGCGCACCUUGUGUUGUGCCAAGUGCAGCUAUGUGUAAAUUCACUUGUGAUCCACAAAAUCCUGCAACAGGAAUAAUUACGGUUGUUCCAACAAAAGUUCAGGUACCAUUUACGUGCCCUACUGGUCAAAUUUGUAACAGUUUGUAUGCAACUUGUGAAUCGUGCAUAUGUCCAAAACUCUGGACAUGUGAUGCAAAUAAUCCAAACGUAGUCACUAUUUUUGGUUUUACAUUUUCAUGUGGCACCGGAAAAGUAUGCAAUAAAGAUUUUGUUGCUCCGUGCGAAGCUUGUAUUACUGAUGGGUCAGCAAUAAUUCAACCACCAGCACAAUAUCCACCUAAUUGUAAUGAUGGAUAUGGUGCUACCAAUCGAUGUCGUCCUGGCCCGCGAGGUGCAGGAUAUUAUUACAAAUGCAGACGUGUCGGAAUGGUGUUCGAUUUUGAUGUUAAAUUAUGCACUGGACUUGCCAGUGAUUCAUGCCGAAGUGUUGCUAAUAUUUGUGUUUAAAAGAUGUAAUAAAUUCUGAUGCAAAGUUUGUUAACGUUCACGUAUAAUUCCAACUCUAACUCAUUGUUUGUUUAUCCAGUUUUUGCAUAAUCCGCACUAUAAAUUUAAUCUUUGAUAAGAUAUAUAGUUAUAUAAUGUUGUUUGGUAAUAAAUAAGCAUGUUUUAUGAGUGUAUUAUUACAGUAUUAAAAUAUUUAAAAAAUUAAUUGUUAUAUAAUGGUAUAUUUCCUGGCACUAUCCAGUAGUUUGUUUUAAAUUGUCCUUUAACAAGUUAAAACAAUGCUAUUUUACGUUGUGACAAUAUCCUGCGUGCUUGCAUUGGCGUCGGCUGGCAAAGACGACUGUAAACCAACCUGGACUUGUCACGAUGCUGAACAUUAUGAAAUUCUAGGACUCAAUAGCACAUGUAAUCCUGGAACAGUAUGCAACCAAGAUUACACAGAUGAAUGCAACCCUUGUGUAGAAUUGAAUGCCGAUACUUGCCAGUUCACUUGUGAUCCUGCCAAUAUGGGCCAGGCCACCGUAACAAUUAGCAACAAUGAUGUUACCGUAAAUUGCAACGAGGGACAAAAGUGUAAUAUAUUAUAUUUGAACGAUUGCUCUCCUUGCAUUGCAGAAACCUGCGAUCCAGUAUGGAAAUGCAAUCCUGACAAGGAAACUGAAGUAUCUGUCAGUGGAGUAACAAUUAACUGUCGCGAUCGUAAAGUAUGCAACAAGGACUACAAAUAUCCUUGUGAUAUGUGCGUUGAUAAAUUCCCUGGUAUAACUUAUCCACCAAAUUGCAAUGAUGGACAUGGUCAUUCCAAUCCAUGCAGACCUGGACCAAUUGGCAGCCGAAAAUAUUAUACCUGCAAGAAAGUCGGCAAAUUCUACUUUGAUUACGAAGAGAAAAAAUGUCUGUGGCAAUUCCUGGACGGCACCUGCAAGAAAAACAAAGAAAUUUGUACUUAGAAAAAUGUAUACACUGCAAUAAUCAGAAUAUAAACGUAAUCCGUUAAUAAAUGCAUUAAAAAUGUAAUAAA
Dalotia coriaria is the source of this 1732-nucleotide RNA transcript. RefSeq lists it as uncharacterized. The transcript has 9 exons. NCBI's taxonomy places the organism in Eukaryota, Metazoa, Arthropoda, Insecta, Coleoptera, Staphylinidae. The record is from RefSeq and is a predicted model, not a curated record.